This is a small nucleolar RNA of Corylus avellana, 102 nucleotides long. The record is from RefSeq and is a predicted model, not a curated record. NCBI's taxonomy places the organism in Eukaryota, Viridiplantae, Streptophyta, Magnoliopsida, Fagales, Betulaceae.
GUUGGGCAAGUGAUGAAUCUCAUUCUAAAAAAUGGGUAAUUUGCGUCUGAAAUCUUUCAUUGAUGUUUUAUCACCUUGGACCUUGGAGAACUGAUGCCCUCU